Molecule: ribosomal RNA, 395 nt
Filed under: uncultured bacterium
Lineage: Bacteria
Description: bacterial SSU rRNA
Rfam family: Bacterial small subunit ribosomal RNA
Source: RNAcentral
GUGUCAGCAGCCGCGGUAAUACAGAGGGGGCAAGCGUUAUUCGGAAUUAUUGGGCGUAAAGGGCGCGUAGGCGGUCUGACAAGUGGAAGGUGAAAUCCCUCGGCUUAACCGAGGAACUGCCCUCCAAACUGUUUGACUUGAGUCCGGGAGAGGUGAGUGGAAUUCCCAGUGUAGCGGUGAAAUGCGUAGAUAUUGGGAGGAACACCAGUGGCGAAGGCGGCUCACUGGACCGGAACUGACGCUGAGGCGCGAAAGCGUGGGGAGCAAACAGGAUUAGAUACCCUGGUAGUCCACGCUGUAAACGAUGAGUGCUUGGUGUAGCGGGUAUCGACCCCUGCUGUGCCGAAGUUAACACAUUAAGCACUCCGCCUGGGGAGUACGGUCGCAAGGCUGAA